CACACACAGAACCACAGUUCAGUUCUGCACAGACAAACACCGAGCUGGGUCCAUCAGAACCUGGACUGGUUCUGAGGCCAUCAGGUCUGUGGUCGAUAAGAAGGAUGAGCGAUGGACCUAAAAUUUUAUCACAAUAUUUUGUUGUACAAUUGUGAUAUUGCUAAAGAUUUUUAUUUUAAAAAACUGUUGAUUAUUUUUUUAGGUAACUGUAUGCCACAAAAACAUAUUCAUGAAAAACUAAUUUGAAACGGAAAAGGUGUGAUUUAUAAGUUGCACACAGUGGCUGCAUUUAAUCAUAUUUUCAAAUUUACUCAUAUCUGUUGAUUUUCUUGUGGGACAAACAAUGGAGAAAAUAACAAAAGUAAAACUUCUGGUCAUCCUGCAAGUUUUGUUUUUUAUUUACCAUCAAUAAAUAAAAUUUAUCACAACAACACUGAAUUUAAAAUCCUAUAAGGAAUUUUUCACAAUAAAUGAUCACAAUAUAUGAUAAAUGCCGACCUGUAGCAGUUAACUCAGGUUAUUUUUGACCUGAUGAUGGCGCUGUUAAAACAAUGUUGAAACAGCAACAUCCAAUUUUUCUGUAAAUUAGAGUCCAAAUGUCUGAAGAAACAUUUCAAGUUCAGGAGUUUUUCUAUGUUUUUUAUGGAUGUAGAAAUAAAAACUGAGGUUUAGGUUUAAAAAAAAAUCUGAAAACUGAUUUAAAGAAGGGCAGAAACUAAAGAUCGAUUGAGUUUGGACAUGUGGAGGCCAGGAGAAGAGUCAGACUUUUUUGUGAUUUCUGAAUUGAACUGAAAGUUUUUCAGUGUGAUAAUCAAAACCCGGUUUGGAGCCGACCAGGUAUCAGGUGUUUCCACACCUGCUGGUGCGCUGGACUCGACUCAGGACCAAAAUUCCAGCAUUUUUUACAUUUCCAGCUGCUGCGGUUUUCUUUCUCAAUGCACUGAGUCAAAUGAAUUCAAAAACCUGUUCCCCUCCUGGCCUGUGGGGGCGCUGCACCAAAAUCCACUGAAGGAAACGACACAACAACCUCUGAAGACACUGAGCGCAACUUCCUUCUUCACCAAACGGAAACAGAAAAAUAUAUAUUUGAGUUGCAUUAGCUCACUGUGCCGUUGUUGGGGGAUCAACGCAGAUAAAAACUUUUCUAACUGAAAUUAAUUCCCACAGAUUGCAGUUAACUAAAUGUUUUCUCCCAAGGCGUCUCUUCCAACCCAGUAACUCUCCCCGGGGAAGCGGCGCUGAUGUCUGACUGAAGCGGACAGAUUUCUGGCGCGUGAUGGACGCAGUAAUCGGCCUUGCAGGAGCCUCUCUGUGAGCCAGAGUCCGGCGCUCCAUGCCAACCAGCGAUGUUUCCUGGAGCUGCUCCACUGACGGAGAAUAGAGGAGCGACUCUGUGGCCGCGGUGACCGCAGCCAGCCGCGCUCCCCUGGGACCUGGCUGCACUUCCUGCCUGUUGGUUAAGUUAUGCUGAUGUACAACCUGCGUCGCUCUGCAGGAUGCAGCGGCAUGGCUUGCAGCCGAGGGACUAAAAUAACGGACAUUUAUUUCAGAAAACAACUCUUGUUUGGAUCUUUGAUUCUUCAUGAAUGCUUAAAGUCGCAGAGCUGAUCAAAAAAAAAAAAACUGUCAAACAUCAGUGAGUUCCUUUAAAACCGUCUUCCAACCGAGGUUAUUAUAGGUAACUAAAACAAAAUAACUGAAACUCAAACUGAGAAAACAUUUAAACAAAAAAAAUAAAAAC
Molecule: long non-coding RNA, 1741 nt
Organism: Xiphophorus couchianus (Monterrey platyfish)
Lineage: Eukaryota; Metazoa; Chordata; Actinopteri; Cyprinodontiformes; Poeciliidae
Exons: 2
Source: RefSeq, a predicted model, not a curated record